RNAcentral lists this ribosomal RNA (2191 nucleotides) under Enterocloster asparagiformis. RNAcentral's name for it is "[Clostridium] asparagiforme partial 23S ribosomal RNA". It matches the Rfam family "Bacterial large subunit ribosomal RNA", at positions 1 to 2221 of the family's 2925-position model. The record is from RNAcentral. Lineage: Bacteria; Bacillati; Bacillota; Clostridia; Lachnospirales; Lachnospiraceae.
UUUUGGUUAAGCUAUAAAGAGCGCAGGGUGGAUGCCUUGGCACUAAGAGCCGAUGAAAGACGUGAUAAGCUGCGAAAAGCUUCGGGGAGGAGCAAAUAUCCUUUGAUCCGGAGAUAUCUGAAUGGGGAAACCUGGCUGAGUAACCCUCAGUCGACGUAUGGUGAAUACAUAGCCAUACGCUGGGAACCCGGUGAACUGAAACAUCUAAGUAGCCGGAGGAAGAGAAAGAAAAAUCGAUUCCCAAAGUAGCGGCGAGCGAAAUGGGAAGAGCCCAAACCAGCGUGCGUGCACGCUGGGGUUAUGGACUGCAUAAGUGAGCUGAUUCGUUAGUGGAACUGUCUGGGAAGUCAGACCAAAGAGAGUGAAAGUCUCGUACACGAAAGCGAUAGGCAGCGGCAGGAUCCAGAGUACCACGAGACACGUGAAACCUUGUGGGAAGUCGGAGGGACCACCCUCCAAGGCUAAAUACUCCUUAGUGACCGAUAGCGCAUAGUACUGUGAAGGAAAGGUGAAAAGGACCCCGGGAGGGGAGUGAAAAAGAACCUGAAACCCUGUGUUUACAAGCUGUGGAAGCACGUUAAGGUGCGACCGCGUACUUUUUGUAGAACGGUCCGGCGAGUUGCCGGUACUGGCAAGGUUAAGUGGUUAAGCCACGGAGCCGAAGGGAAACCAAGUCUCAAAUGGGCGUAAAGUCAGUACAGGCAGACCCGAAACCGGGUGACCUAUCCAUGUCCAGGUUGAAGCGGAAGUAAAAUUCCGUGGAGGACCGGAUCCACAUCCGUUGAAAAGGGUGGGAAUGAGGUGUGGAUAGGGGAGAAAUUCCAAUCGAACCCGGAGAUAGCUGGUUCUCCUCGAAAUAGCUUUAGGGCUAGCCUCAUAUUAGUUUAGCGGAGGUAGAGCACUGAAUUCCUAAGGGGGCGUCAAAGCUUACCAAGGGAUAUCAAACUCCGAAUGCCGUAUAAAUGAUGUAUGGGAGUCAGACUGCACGAGAUAAGUUGGGUAGUCAAAAGGGAAAGAGCCCAGACCUACAGCUAAGGUCCCAAAGUGUGUGUUAAGUGGAAAAGGAUGUGGGAUUUCAGAGACAACUAGGAUGUUGGCUUAGAAGCAGCCACACAUUCAAAGAGUGCGUAAUAGCUCACUAGUCGAGAGGUCCUGCGCCGAAAAUGUCCGGGGCUAAAACACAACACCGAAGCUUAGGAAUCACUUUAAGUGAUUGGUAGAGGAGCAUUCUUAAAGGAACGAAGCAGUACCGACAAGGAGCUGUGGACUUUUAAGAAGAGAGAAUGCCGGAAUGAGUAGCGAGAUGGAGGUGAGAAUCCUCCAGGCCGAAUAUCCAAGGUUUCCAGAGUAAAGCUGAUCUGCUCUGGGUAAGUCGGGGCCUAAGGCGAGGCUGAAAAGCGUAGUCGAUGGACAACAGGUUGAAAUUCCUGUACCGCGUAUUAUCAGAACUGUGGGGACGCAGAAGGACAACACAACCCGGGAAUGGGAAGACCGGGGCAAGCGAGGUAGGAGUAUGGUUGGCAAAUCCGCCGUACAAUCCGAAGACGUGACGCGUAGCGAACUAUAAGUAGCGAAGUGUGUGAUUCCGGCUGCCAAGAAAAGCCGCUAUUGUGUAAUACGUGCCCGUACCGUAAACCGACACAGGUAGAUGAGGAGAGAAUCCUAAGGCCGGCGGGAGAAGCAUUGUUAAGGAACUCGGCAAAAUGACCCUGUAACUUCGGGAUAAAGGGUGCCAGAGAGAUCUGGCCGCAGAGAAUAGGCUCAAGCAACUGUUUAGCAAAAACACAGGUCUAUGCAAAACCGAAAGGUGAGGUAUAUGGGCUGACGCCUGCCCGGUGCUGGAAGGUUAAGAGGAGAGGUUAGCGCAAGCGAAGCUUUGAAUUUAAGCCCCAGUAAACGGCGGCCGUAACUAUAACGGUCCUAAGGUAGCGAAAUUCCUUGUCGGGUAAGUUCCGACCCGCACGAAAGGCGUAAUGAUUUGAGCGCUGUCUCAACAAUGCACCCGGUGAAAUUGAAAUACCAGUGAAGAUGCUGGUUACCUGCGCCAGGACGGAAAGACCCCAUGGAGCUUUACUCCAGCUUGAUACUGGGAUUCGGUAUUGCAUGUACAGGAUAGGUGGGAGGCUUUGAAGGUAGGACGCCAGUCUUACUGGAGCCAAUGUUGGGAUACCACCCUUGCGAUAUUGGGUUU